Molecule: ribosomal RNA, 426 nt
Filed under: uncultured bacterium
Lineage: Bacteria
Description: bacterial SSU rRNA
Rfam family: Bacterial small subunit ribosomal RNA
Source: RNAcentral
AUGCAAGUCGAACGGCAGCACGGGUGCUUGCACCUGGUGGCGAGUGCGGACGGGUGAGUAUACAUCGGAACGUAUCCUAAAGUGGGGGAUAACGCAUCGAAAGAUGUGCUAAUACCGCAUAUACUCUGAGGAGGAAAGUAGGGGAUCGAAAGACCUUAUGCUUUUGGAGCGGCCGAUGUCUGAUUAGCUAGUUGGUAAGGUAAUGGCUUACCAAGGCAACGAUCAGUAGUUGGUCUGAGAGGACGACCAGCCACACUGGGACUGAGACACGGCCCAGACUCCUACGGGAGGCAGCAGUGGGGAAUUUUGGACAAUGGGCGCAAGCCUGAUCCUAGCAAUGCCGCGUGAGUGAAGAAGGCCUUCGGGUUGUAAAGCUCUUUCAGUUGAGAAGAAAAGAUUGUAACUAAUAAUUACAAUCCGUGACGG